This 433-nucleotide ribosomal RNA is filed under the name uncultured bacterium. Its description in RNAcentral is "partial 16S ribosomal RNA". It matches the Rfam family "Bacterial small subunit ribosomal RNA", at positions 29 to 507 of the family's 1533-position model. The record is from RNAcentral.
AACGAACGCUGGCGGCAUGCCUAACACAUGCAAGUCGAACGAGACCUUCGGGUCUAGUGGCGCACGGGUGCGUAACGCGUGGGAAUCUGCCCUUGGGUUCGGAAUAACAGUUGGAAACGACUGCUAAUACCGGAUGAUGACGUAAGUCCAAAGAUUUAUCGCCCAAGGAUGAGCCCGCGUAGGAUUAGCUAGUUGGUGAGGUAAGGGCUCACCAAGGCGACGAUCCUUAGCUGGUCUGAGAGGAUGAUCAGCCACACUGGGACUGAGACACGGCCCAGACUCCUACGGGAGGCAGCAGUGGGGAAUAUUGGACAAUGGGCGAAAGCCUGAUCCAGCAAUGCCGCGUGAGUGAUGAAGGCCUUAGGGUUGUAAAGCUCUUUUACCCGGGAUGAUAAUGACAGUACCGGGAGAAUAAGCUCCGGCUAACUCCGUG